RNAcentral lists this ribosomal RNA (2913 nucleotides) under Enterococcus faecium EnGen0256. RNAcentral describes it as "bacterial LSU rRNA". It matches the Rfam family "Bacterial large subunit ribosomal RNA". The record is from RNAcentral. Lineage: Bacteria; Bacillati; Bacillota; Bacilli; Lactobacillales; Enterococcaceae.
UUAAGUGAAUAAGGGCGCACGGUGGAUGCCUUGGCACUAGGAGCCGAUGAAGGACGGGACUAACACCGAUAUGCUUUGGGGAGCUGUACGUAAGCUAUGAUCCAGAGAUUUCCGAAUGGGGGAACCCAGCAUCUUUAAUAGGAUGUUACGAUUGUGUGAAUACAUAGCACAUUCGAGGUAGACGCAGAGAACUGAAACAUCUAAGUACCUGCAGGAAGAGAAAGAAAAUUCGAUUCCCUGAGUAGCGGCGAGCGAAACGGGAAAAGCCCAAACCAGCAAGCUUGCUUGUUGGGGUUGUAGGACUCCAAUAUGGUAGUUCUUUCAGAUAGUCGAAUGACUUGGAAAAGUCAGUCAAAGAGGGUAAAAACCCCGUAGACGAAAUGUGGAAGACACCUAGGAGGAUCCUGAGUACGGCGGAACACGAGAAAUUCCGUCGGAAUCCGGGAGGACCAUCUCCCAAGGCUAAAUACUCCCUAGUGACCGAUAGUGAACCAGUACCGUGAGGGAAAGGUGAAAAGCACCCCGGAAGGGGAGUGAAAUAGAACCUGAAACCGUGUGCCUACAACAAGUCAAAGCCCGUUAAUGGGUGAUGGCGUGCCUUUUGUAGAAUGAACCGGCGAGUUACGAUUGCAUGCGAGGUUAAGUUGAAGAGACGGAGCCGCAGCGAAAGCGAGUCUGAAUAGGGCGUUUGAGUAUGUAGUCGUAGACCCGAAACCAUGUGAUCUACCCAUGUCCAGGUUGAAGGUGCGGUAAAACGCACUGGAGGACCGAACCCACGUACGUUGAAAAGUGCGGGGAUGAGGUGUGGGUAGCGGAGAAAUUCCAAACGAACUUGGAGAUAGCUGGUUCUCUCCGAAAUAGCUUUAGGGCUAGCCUCGGAAUUGAGAAUGAUGGAGGUAGAGCACUGUUUGGACUAGGGGCCCAUCUCGGGUUACCGAAUUCAGAUAAACUCCGAAUGCCAUUCAUUCAUAUCCGGGAGUCAGACUGUGAGUGAUAAGAUCCAUAGUCGAAAGGGAAACAGCCCAGACCACCAGCUAAGGUCCCAAAAUAUAUGUUAAGUGGAAAAGGAUGUGGGGUUGCACAGACAACUAGGAUGUUGGCUUAGAAGCAGCCAUCAUUUAAAGAGUGCGUAAUAGCUCACUAGUCGAGUGACCCUGCGCCGAAAAUGUACCGGGGCUAAACAUAUUACCGAAGCUGUGGAGUACACCUUUAGGUGUAUUGGUAGGAGAGCGUUCUAAGGGCGUCGAAGGCAGAUCGUGAGGACUGCUGGAGCGCUUAGAAGUGAGAAUGCCGGUAUGAGUAGCGAAAGACAGGUGAGAAUCCUGUCCACCGAAUGACUAAGGUUUCCUGGGGAAGGCUCGUCCGCCCAGGGUUAGUCGGGACCUAAGCCGAGGCCGACAGGCGUAGGCGAUGGAUAACAGGUUGAUAUUCCUGUACCCGUUGUUUUUGUUUGAGCAAUGGAGGGACGCAGGAGGCUAAGGAAUGCAGACGAUCGGAAAUGUCUGUCCAAGCAGUAAGUCUGAAGAGGAGUCAAAUGCUUCUUUUCUUAAGGACAAGCUGUGAUGGGGAGGGAAAUAAUAGUACCGAAGUUCCUGAUGUCACACUGCCGAGAAAAGCUUCUAGUGAGAAAACAGCGGCCCGUACCGCAAACCGACACAGGUAGUCGAGGAGAGAAUCCUAAGGUGAGCGAGAGAACUCUCGUUAAGGAACUCGGCAAAAUGACCCCGUAACUUCGGGAGAAGGGGUGCUGAUCAUACGAUCAGCCGCAGUGAAUAGGCCCAAGCGACUGUUUAUCAAAAACACAGGUCUCUGCAAAAUCGUAAGAUGAAGUAUAGGGGCUGACGCCUGCCCGGUGCUGGAAGGUUAAGAGGAGUGCUUAGCGCAAGCGAAGGUACGAAUUGAAGCCCCAGUAAACGGCGGCCGUAACUAUAACGGUCCUAAGGUAGCGAAAUUCCUUGUCGGGUAAGUUCCGACCCGCACGAAAGGCGUAACGAUUUGGGCACUGUCUCAACGAGAGACUCGGUGAAAUUUUAGUACCUGUGAAGAUGCAGGUUACCCGCGACAGGACGGAAAGACCCCAUGGAGCUUUACUGUAGUUUGAUAUUGAGUGUCUGUACCGCAUGUACAGGAUAGGUAGGAGCCGUAGAAAUCGGAACGCUAGUUUCGAUGGAGGCGCUGGUGGGAUACUACCCCUGCGUUAUGGCCACUCUAACCCGCACCACUAAUCGUGGUGGGAGACAGUGUCAGAUGGGCAGUUUGACUGGGGCGGUCGCCUCCUAAAAGGGAACGGAGGCGCCCAAAGGUUCCCUCAGAAUGGUUGGAAAUCAUUCGAAGAGUGUAAAGGCAGAAGGGAGCUUGACUGCGAGACCAACAAGUCGAGCAGGGACGAAAGUCGGGCUUAGUGAUCCGGUGGUUCCGCAUGGAAGGGCCAUCGCUCAACGGAUAAAAGCUACCCUGGGGAUAACAGGCUUAUCUCCCCCAAGAGUCCACAUCGACGGGGAGGUUUGGCACCUCGAUGUCGGCUCGUCGCAUCCUGGGGCUGUAGUCGGUCCCAAGGGUUGGGCUGUUCGCCCAUUAAAGCGGCACGCGAGCUGGGUUCAGAACGUCGUGAGACAGUUCGGUCCCUAUCCGUCGCGGGCGUUGGAAAUUUGAGAGGAGCUGUCCUUAGUACGAGAGGACCGGGAUGGACUUACCGCUGGUGUACCAGUUGUUCUGCCAAGGGCAUUGCUGGGUAGCUAUGUAGGGAAGGGAUAAACGCUGAAAGCAUCUAAGUGUGAAGCCCACCUCAAGAUGAGAUUUCCCAUUUCUUUAAGAAAGUAAGAUCCCUGAGAGAUGAUCAGGUAGAUAGGUCAGGAGUGGAAGUACAGUGAUGUAUGGAGCGGACUGAUACUAAUCGAUCGAGGACUUAACCAA